Molecule: ribosomal RNA, 253 nt
Filed under: uncultured bacterium
Lineage: Bacteria
Description: partial 16S ribosomal RNA
Rfam family: Bacterial small subunit ribosomal RNA
Source: RNAcentral
UACAGAGGUGGCAAGCGUUGUUCGGAAUUACUGGGCGUAAAGGGCGCGUAGGCGGUUCGAUAAGUCCCGUGUGAAAUCCCUCGGCUCAACUGAGGAACUGCACGGGAAACUGACGGGCUUGAGUUCGGGAGAGGGAAGCGGAAUUCCGGGUGUAGCGGUGAAAUGCGUAGAUAUCUGGAGGAACACCGGUGGCGAAGGCGGCGUUCGGGACUGCAACUGACACUGAGGAACGAAAGCCAGGGGAGCAAACGGG